Homo sapiens (human) is the source of this 1015-nucleotide RNA transcript. It is a transcript of the gene named septin 7 pseudogene 11, with no coding region annotated. The transcript is spliced from 6 exons. Lineage: Eukaryota; Metazoa; Chordata; Mammalia; Primates; Hominidae. The record is from RefSeq and is marked validated.
GCAUGUGCGGAUGACUGGCCGCAGGCGGCCGGGCGGGCUGUAACCCGCCGCUGAACUAGCGCUUCUGUGUCCAGAGGCUUCGGCCUGGCCGCCGUCGCCUGUAAGCUACGAGGAGGAGAUUUACGACUUGGCCGGGCGCAGCAAAGGCCAGACUCUGCGCGAACAGGCGCUGCGCACCAACCGGCAGGCACCUGGCGGGCACCAUCGCACGGUGGCGCAGAAGCCCCUCAAUGGCCAGCGCCAGCUGCAGCCGCGGCCGCGCAGUCGUCCCACCUGAGCUUGGGCGAAUGUGGAUUGGGAAAGUCGACAUUAAUCAACUCAUUAUUCCUCAUAGAUUUGUAUUCUCCAGAGUAUCCAGGUCCUUCUCACAGAAUUAAAAAGACUGUACAGCUGGCAGCCUGUUAUCGAUUACAUUGAUAGUAAAUUUGAGGACUACCUAAAUGCAGAAUCAUGCGUGAACAGACAUCAGAUGCCUGAUAACAGGGUGCAGUGUUGUUCAUACUUCAUUGCUCCUUCAGGACAUGGACUUAAACCAUUGGAUAUUGAGUUUAUGAAGCGUUUGCAUGAAAAAGUGAGUAUCACCCCACUUAUUGCCAAAGCAGACACACUCACACCAGAGGAAUGCCAACAGUUUAAAAAACAGUUGAAAAUGGUGAACAUUGUUAUUUUACAAUUCUAAGAAAUAUGUUGAUAAGGUAACUUUUCCGGUCACACACAACAGACUGAUUUUCCUGUGGAAGACCUCACAGGAGUUCUCUUGAACCAGGAGACUAUUUUGAGCUGAAAUACCUGGAGCCCUCUCAAGCUAUUUGGGCCUUUCAAUUUGAAACCCAGGUUUGGAUGAUUCUAAGCUCUAUGGCAGAGACUGUAAUCAUUUUCUCUUCACCCUCAGGUUGGGGACUCACCCUCAGGGUUGGGAGUGACUGCUGUCUCUCCAGCCCCCACCAAUUACACCAUGUUCUGGUUGUUAAAAUCCAGUGUAUGCAUGAAAUGUAAUAAAAGUAUCUUCGCAGCA